AGUGAGCGACAGGACACGGAUGAGA
Molecule: unclassified non-coding RNA, 25 nt
Filed under: Mus musculus (house mouse)
Lineage: Eukaryota; Metazoa; Chordata; Mammalia; Rodentia; Muridae
Description: oocyte_clustered_small_RNA6910
Source: RNAcentral